This 497-nucleotide long non-coding RNA is filed under the name Bos taurus (domestic cattle). Its description in RNAcentral is "long non-coding RNA NONBTAT026676". The record is from RNAcentral. Lineage: Eukaryota; Metazoa; Chordata; Mammalia; Artiodactyla; Bovidae.
UUUACACACCCUUUAUCUUUUUAUUGAGGAGAAAGCUUUAGCAUACAGAACAAUUUCUCAUCUUCACAACACAGUAAAACAACAAUAACACAAUAACACAUUGGUUUCAAACGAUUUCUCCCCGGGUCUCUGGGAAUCCCUGGGCUGCCCUCAUACCCCUGCAUGCAUACGCCCACCCCCACCCACCCCUCUUUAAACCCAAGAAAUAGCCCAAAUCCCGUAGUUCCUCUUACAGCUCUUGUGGCUGUUAGAUCACAAUAUUGAAGAUCUGAGAAAGGAGGGGAAGAGGGUCAAAGGGGAGCCCAAGCUCCCUUGCCACCAGAGGGCCACAAACCAGCUCACUGCUCAAUCCUAAGGCUGGGCUGAGGUUAUCUGUCAGACUCCAGUGAGGAACAGAGGUUUAAUUUACUAUGUUUUCUUCCGUCUGGCCACAGACACUUUGGCUGCACUUGCCCAGCUACCAGGCCCUGUGCAGGAAGCCCAGUGUGGAGGGCAGU